UACGGAGGUCUCAAGCGUUGUUCGGAUUCAUUGGGCGUAAAGCGCACGUAGGCGGCCUCAUAAGUCGGAUGUGAAAUCCCACGGCUCAACCGUGGAAGUGCAUCCGAAACUGCGAGGCUCGAGUAUGGAAGAGGGCCGCAGAAUUCCCGGUGUAGAGGUGAAAUGCGCAGAUAUCAGGAAGAACACCCGUGGCGAAAGCGGCUCUCUGGAACGGUACUGACGCUGAGACGCGAAAGCGUGGGGAGCGAACAGG
RNAcentral lists this ribosomal RNA (253 nucleotides) under uncultured bacterium. Its description in RNAcentral is "partial 16S ribosomal RNA". It matches the Rfam family "Bacterial small subunit ribosomal RNA", at positions 524 to 776 of the family's 1533-position model. The record is from RNAcentral.